Molecule: ribosomal RNA, 301 nt
Filed under: uncultured bacterium
Lineage: Bacteria
Description: partial 16S ribosomal RNA
Rfam family: Bacterial small subunit ribosomal RNA
Source: RNAcentral
CAGUCGCCACGGUAAUACGAAGGGGGCUAGCGUUGCUCGGAAUGACUGGGCGUAAAGGGCGCGUAGGCGGCUUGACAAGUCUUGUGUGAAAUCUAUGGGCUCAACCCAUAGUCUGCACGGGAAACUGUCGGGCUUGAGAAUGGGAGAGGUGAGUGGAAUUUCCGGUGUAGCGGUGAAAUGCGUAGAUAUCGGAAGGAACACCUGUGGCGAAAGCGGCUCACUGGACCAUUUCUGACGCUGAUGCACGAAAGCUAGGGGAGCAAACAGGAUUAGAUACCCCAGUAGUCCCUGUCUCUUAUAC